RNAcentral lists this long non-coding RNA (342 nucleotides) under Eucalyptus grandis. RNAcentral's name for it is "long non-coding RNA (EGRA_LNC003154)". The record is from RNAcentral. Lineage: Eukaryota; Viridiplantae; Streptophyta; Magnoliopsida; Myrtales; Myrtaceae.
CUUAACUUUCAAAAGUGUGGAAGAUUGCCCGAGAAAUAGGAGGUUACAAAGAAACCGGGGCCUUGACCCGUCUAUCUUCAGCUCUCCUAUGCCGACCGCCUAGGUCGCCGUAGUCUAACCUUGCGGGUUGUUCUUCUUGGCCCUGUGUGGCCUUUUGGUUAGGUUGUCUUUUUUAGUUUGUUAUCUCGACCCUGCGUAGCUGUUUUCUUGGGCUUCCUGUUUCGGCCCUUGCUUGAGUUGACCGCUUUGCGGUGUUUUGUGUCCGGCGCCCUUUCACUCAAUGAGACGUCUGUGUUUUGUUGAGUGCAAGUUUUGUGGUGCCGGAUCUUGUAUAUUUGUUGG